RNAcentral lists this long non-coding RNA (1033 nucleotides) under Carica papaya (papaya). RNAcentral's name for it is "long non-coding RNA (CPAP_LNC004746)". The record is from RNAcentral. Lineage: Eukaryota; Viridiplantae; Streptophyta; Magnoliopsida; Brassicales; Caricaceae.
AAAUUUAUCUUUAAUUCAGGUUAUGUCAAUCACUCUACUAAAAGAAUUUUAGCCGGACAUGGUGGAUUGAGCAAUAAAAGUUAUCAUUAAGAAAAAUAUAAUCACGUAAUAAUUAAAAAUACAAACAUUCCCAUUCAAGUUUCACUAAAACAAUUCCCAAAAAUUUCUACAAAAAGAAAAUAUGACAAUAAAAACACAAAUAAAUAUUACGUGGUUAUUUUUCUUCUUUCACCAAGCUCUUCUGCCUGUCCCGUUUACACCACUCCUACUUGCUUCUGCAUCAGUCUGCUUCUCCUACUCAGCUCGUUGUUGCCUUUCGCUUGCGUUUGCUGUGUUCUUUGACGAAACUCGCACUCCGUCUCUUGGUCUCCAAGCUUCGCAAAUCUAGUUUCUGCUUUCCUUCUCUAGCUCAUCCCUCUCUCCUCCAGAUCCGUCCUUUUAGUGUUCUCCUCUUCUCCUUUCAAUAGGCGACUACAAGAGAGAAAAUCUUCUUUCACCCACCUCUUUUUUCCUUUAUAACUCCCCCUUCUCCUUUUUAGCUAAUUCUUUUUUUUUUUAAUUUUCCUCUUCAGCUGCUUCUUUCUUUUCCUCUUCUGGUUUCUACAAUUUUCUUUUCAUUCUUUUUUAAAAAAACGACGUCGUUUUGGACGUCUGGUUCCCAGCCACAAAAUGUUGUUUUGAGUGUUGUUGGGUUGCUAGGUUGUUGCUGCAGGUCUAGGCUAGAUUUCACGGGUUUGCAGAUCUGGACCUGGGUGCAAACUUCUUCUUUUCUUCUUCUCUUUUUAGCCUUUUUUUCUCUUUUCUUCAAAAAUGUAAUCUCCAUCAAAAUUUUACGCAUUAAUAUAUUUUUCUAGUCAGAAUUUAUUUCAAGUUCUUAUAAAUUCAAGUAAUAAGGCUAUAAAAAAUAUGAUAAAAAUAUUGUACAUCAAAUAGAAAAACCCCAUAUUAUCACAUCAUAUAACAAAAAUAGAGAAAACAAGUAUGUGAUAUUCACGAAGUAACGAUAAAAAAAUAUAAUCCCAGUAGUUGCAUU